AACGAACGCUGGCGGCGUGCUUAACACAUGCAAGUCGAACGCGAACGGGUUCUUCGGGACCUUAGUAGAGUGGCGCACGGGUGAGUAACGCGUAAGUAAUCUACCCUGGCAUCGGGAAUAACAUAUCGAAAGGUGUGCUAAUACCGGAUACGCUGGUAACAGGAAAGGUGGCCUCUGCAUAUGCUACCGUGCUGGGAUGAGCUUGCGUACCAUUAGCUAGUUGGUGGGGUAAGGGCCUACCAAGGCGACGAUGGUUAGCGGGUCUGAGAGGAUGAUCCGCCACACUGGAACUGGAACACGGACCAGACUCCUACGGGAGGCAGCAGUGAGGAAUAUUGCGCAAUGGGGGCAACCCUGACGCAGCGACGCCGCGUGGAUGAUGAAGGCCUUCGGGUCGUAAAAUCCUGUCAGGUGGAAAGAAAUGCAUAGAUGCUAAUACCAUGUAUGUUUGACGGUACCACCGAAGGAAGCACCGGCUAACUCCGUGCCAGCCGCCGCGGUAA
Molecule: ribosomal RNA, 503 nt
Filed under: uncultured bacterium
Lineage: Bacteria
Description: partial 16S ribosomal RNA
Rfam family: Bacterial small subunit ribosomal RNA
Source: RNAcentral